This 467-nucleotide ribosomal RNA is filed under the name uncultured bacterium. Its description in RNAcentral is "partial 16S ribosomal RNA". It matches the Rfam family "Bacterial small subunit ribosomal RNA", at positions 29 to 507 of the family's 1533-position model. The record is from RNAcentral.
ACGCACGCUGGCGGCGUGCUUCACACAUGCAAGUCGAACGGAAAGGCCCUGCUUUUGUGGGGUGCUCGAGUGGCGAGCGGGUGAGUAACACGUGAGUAACCUGCCCUUGACUUUGGGAUAACUUCAGGAAACUGGGGCUAAUACCGGAUAGGAGCUCCUGCUGCAUGGUGGGGGUUGGAAAGUUUCGGCGGUUGGGGAUGGACUCGCGGCUUAUCAGCUUGUUGGUGGGGUAGUGGCUUACCAAGGCUUUGACGGGUAGCCGGCCUGAGAGGGUGACCGGCCACAUUGGGACUGAGAUACGGCCCAGACUCCUACGGGAGGCAGCAGUGGGGAAUAUUGCACAAUGGGCGGAAGCCUGAUGCAGCAACGCCGCGUGCGGGAUGACGGCCUUCGGGUUGUAAACCGCUUUCGCCUGUGACGAAGCGUGAGUGACGGUAAUGGGUAAAGAAGCACCGGCUAACUACGUG